RNAcentral lists this small nucleolar RNA (125 nucleotides) under Neogale vison (American mink). RNAcentral's name for it is "Neovison vison (American mink) Small nucleolar RNA SNORD22 (ENSNVIG00000020484.1)". It matches the Rfam family "Small nucleolar RNA SNORD22". Rfam says of the family: U22 is a member of the C/D class of snoRNA which contain the C (UGAUGA) and D (CUGA) box motifs. U22 is encoded within the U22 snoRNA host gene (UHG) in mammals and has also been identified in Xenopus. U22 is thought to as a 2'-O-ribose methylation guide for ribosomal RNA. The record is from Rfam by way of RNAcentral. Lineage: Eukaryota; Metazoa; Chordata; Mammalia; Carnivora; Mustelidae.
UCCCGGUGAAGAAAGAGUCACAUGUCCUACCUCCUGUCCUAGUCCCAGAGCCUGUAAAGGUGAACCCACUGGGGCUGGCUGGGGGAAAAGAGGAAACUUGUUCCAGAAGGAACUGUCUGAGGGAU